UCCCUCCUUUUGGAGUUUUACAGUGUGCCCAGGGCACGGACACAGGAGACAGCAAAAUUUCAGCUGUAAUGAGAGAGAAGAAAAAAAGCACAUCCAGUGUUCUGCAAGGACUCAGCAGCUUCCAUUUCCAAACUUACUGCUCCAACCUUCCAAGAACUUCUGCAAGAUCUAUCACAAUGCCCCAGGACCUCAGAUUUCCUAGCACCAACUCAGCCCUUAGGAGCUUUGCAGUUAAGAACAAUGUCAACAUCCUCAGUAUUUUAGUUGAAGUCAUAUCUCAUUACUAUCAAGAGAUCUGCACAAAAUCCUGACUGGGCAAUAGUGAUGGCAAUAGAAGAUUGAGAGGGAAUGAGAGAA
This is a non-coding RNA of Meleagris gallopavo (turkey), 357 nucleotides long. The record is from RefSeq and is a predicted model, not a curated record. NCBI's taxonomy places the organism in Eukaryota, Metazoa, Chordata, Aves, Galliformes, Phasianidae.